This 630-nucleotide ribosomal RNA is filed under the name uncultured bacterium. Its description in RNAcentral is "bacterial SSU rRNA". It matches the Rfam family "Bacterial small subunit ribosomal RNA", at positions 64 to 692 of the family's 1533-position model. The record is from RNAcentral.
GAACGAAGCGCCUGCGGCGGACCCCUCCGGGGGAAAGCCGCAGGGGACUGAGUGGCGGACGGGUGAGCAACGCGUGGGCAACCUGCCCCGUACCGGGGGACAACAGCCGGAAACGGCUGCUAAUACCGCAUAUUCCCGCGGGGCCGCAUGGCCCUGCGGGGAAAGCUCCGGCAGUACGGGAUGGGCCCGCGUCUGAUUAGCUUGUUGGCGGGGUAACGGCCCACCAAGGCUGCGAUCAGUAGCCGGCCUGAGAGGGCGGCCGGCCACAUUGGGACUGAGACACGGCCCAGACUCCUGCGGGAGGCAGCAGUGGGGGAUAUUGCACAAUGGGGGGAACCCUGAUGCAGCGACGCCGCGUGAACGAAGAAAUAUUUCGGUAUGUAAAGUUCUAUCAGCAGGGAAGAAAAUGACAGUACCUGACCAAGAAGCCCCGGCUAACUACGUGCCAGCAGCCGCGGUAAUACGUAGGGGGCGAGCGUUAUCCGGAUUCACUGGGCGUAAAGGGAGCGCAGGCGGCACGGCAAGUCCGGUGUGAAAGCCCGGGGCCCAACCCCGGGACUGCACUGGAAACUGCCGGGCUGGAGUGUCGGAGGGGCAGGCGGAAUUCCUAGUGUAGCGGUGAAAUGCGUA